This 2903-nucleotide ribosomal RNA is filed under the name Escherichia coli. RNAcentral's name for it is "23S ribosomal RNA". It matches the Rfam family "Bacterial large subunit ribosomal RNA". Lineage: Bacteria; Pseudomonadati; Pseudomonadota; Gammaproteobacteria; Enterobacterales; Enterobacteriaceae. The record is from RNAcentral.
GGUUAAGCGACUAAGCGUACACGGUGGAUGCCCUGGCAGUCAGAGGCGAUGAAGGACGUGCUAAUCUGCGAUAAGCGUCGGUAAGGUGAUAUGAACCGUUAUAACCGGCGAUUUCCGAAUGGGGAAACCCAGUGUGUUUCGACACACUAUCAUUAACUGAAUCCAUAGGUUAAUGAGGCGAACCGGGGGAACUGAAACAUCUAAGUACCCCGAGGAAAAGAAAUCAACCGAGAUUCCCCCAGUAGCGGCGAGCGAACGGGGAGGAGCCCAGAGCCUGAAUCAGUGUGUGUGUUAGUGGAAGCGUCUGGAAAGGCGCGCGAUACAGGGUGACAGCCCCGUACACAAAAAUGCACAUGCUGUGAGCUCGAUGAGUAGGGCGGGACACGUGGUAUCCUGUCUGAAUAUGGGGGGACCAUCCUCCAAGGCUAAAUACUCCUGACUGACCGAUAGUGAACCAGUACCGUGAGGGAAAGGCGAAAAGAACCCCGGCGAGGGGAGUGAAAAAGAACCUGAAACCGUGUACGUACAAGCAGUGGGAGCACGCUUAGGCGUGUGACUGCGUACCUUUUGUAUAAUGGGUCAGCGACUUAUAUUCUGUAGCAAGGUUAACCGAAUAGGGGAGCCGAAGGGAAACCGAGUCUUAACUGGGCGUUAAGUUGCAGGGUAUAGACCCGAAACCCGGUGAUCUAGCCAUGGGCAGGUUGAAGGUUGGGUAACACUAACUGGAGGACCGAACCGACUAAUGUUGAAAAAUUAGCGGAUGACUUGUGGCUGGGGGUGAAAGGCCAAUCAAACCGGGAGAUAGCUGGUUCUCCCCGAAAGCUAUUUAGGUAGCGCCUCGUGAACUCAUCUCCGGGGGUAGAGCACUGUUUCGGCAAGGGGGUCAUCCCGACUUACCAACCCGAUGCAAACUGCGAAUACCGGAGAAUGUUAUCACGGGAGACACACGGCGGGUGCUAACGUCCGUCGUGAAGAGGGAAACAACCCAGACCGCCAGCUAAGGUCCCAAAGUCAUGGUUAAGUGGGAAACGAUGUGGGAAGGCCCAGACAGCCAGGAUGUUGGCUUAGAAGCAGCCAUCAUUUAAAGAAAGCGUAAUAGCUCACUGGUCGAGUCGGCCUGCGCGGAAGAUGUAACGGGGCUAAACCAUGCACCGAAGCUGCGGCAGCGACACUAUGUGUUGUUGGGUAGGGGAGCGUUCUGUAAGCCUGUGAAGGUGUGCUGUGAGGCAUGCUGGAGGUAUCAGAAGUGCGAAUGCUGACAUAAGUAACGAUAAAGCGGGUGAAAAGCCCGCUCGCCGGAAGACCAAGGGUUCCUGUCCAACGUUAAUCGGGGCAGGGUGAGUCGACCCCUAAGGCGAGGCCGAAAGGCGUAGUCGAUGGGAAACAGGUUAAUAUUCCUGUACUUGGUGUUACUGCGAAGGGGGGACGGAGAAGGCUAUGUUGGCCGGGCGACGGUUGUCCCGGUUUAAGCGUGUAGGCUGGUUUUCCAGGCAAAUCCGGAAAAUCAAGGCUGAGGCGUGAUGACGAGGCACUACGGUGCUGAAGCAACAAAUGCCCUGCUUCCAGGAAAAGCCUCUAAGCAUCAGGUAACAUCAAAUCGUACCCCAAACCGACACAGGUGGUCAGGUAGAGAAUACCAAGGCGCUUGAGAGAACUCGGGUGAAGGAACUAGGCAAAAUGGUGCCGUAACUUCGGGAGAAGGCACGCUGAUAUGUAGGUGAAGUCCCUUGCGGAUGGAGCUGAAAUCAGUCGAAGAUACCAGCUGGCUGCAACUGUUUAUUAAAAACACAGCACUGUGCAAACACGAAAGUGGACGUAUACGGUGUGACGCCUGCCCGGUGCCGGAAGGUUAAUUGAUGGGGUCAGCGCAAGCGAAGCUCUUGAUCGAAGCCCCGGUAAACGGCGGCCGUAACUAUAACGGUCCUAAGGUAGCGAAAUUCCUUGUCGGGUAAGUUCCGACCUGCACGAAUGGCGUAAUGAUGGCCAGGCUGUCUCCACCCGAGACUCAGUGAAAUUGAACUCGCUGUGAAGAUGCAGUGUACCCGCGGCAAGACGGAAAGACCCCGUGAACCUUUACUAUAGCUUGACACUGAACAUUGAGCCUUGAUGUGUAGGAUAGGUGGGAGGCUUUGAAGUGUGGACGCCAGUCUGCAUGGAGCCGACCUUGAAAUACCACCCUUUAAUGUUUGAUGUUCUAACGUGGACCCGUGAUCCGGGUUGCGGACAGUGUCUGGUGGGUAGUUUGACUGGGGCGGUCUCCUCCUAAAGAGUAACGGAGGAGCACGAAGGUUGGCUAAUCCUGGUCGGACAUCAGGAGGUUAGUGCAAUGGCAUAAGCCAGCUUGACUGCGAGCGUGACGGCGCGAGCAGGUGCGAAAGCAGGUCAUAGUGAUCCGGUGGUUCUGAAUGGAAGGGCCAUCGCUCAACGGAUAAAAGGUACUCCGGGGAUAACAGGCUGAUACCGCCCAAGAGUUCAUAUCGACGGCGGUGUUUGGCACCUCGAUGUCGGCUCAUCACAUCCUGGGGCUGAAGUAGGUCCCAAGGGUAUGGCUGUUCGCCAUUUAAAGUGGUACGCGAGCUGGGUUUAGAACGUCGUGAGACAGUUCGGUCCCUAUCUGCCGUGGGCGCUGGAGAACUGAGGGGGGCUGCUCCUAGUACGAGAGGACCGGAGUGGACGCAUCACUGGUGUUCGGGUUGUCAUGCCAAUGGCACUGCCCGGUAGCUAAAUGCGGAAGAGAUAAGUGCUGAAAGCAUCUAAGCACGAAACUUGCCCCGAGAUGAGUUCUCCCUGACUCCUUGAGAGUCCUGAAGGAACGUUGAAGACGACGACGUUGAUAGGCCGGGUGUGUAAGCGCAGCGAUGCGUUGAGCUAACCGGUACUAAUGAACCGUGAGGCUUAACCUU